Molecule: ribosomal RNA, 253 nt
Filed under: uncultured bacterium
Lineage: Bacteria
Description: partial 16S ribosomal RNA
Rfam family: Bacterial small subunit ribosomal RNA
Source: RNAcentral
UACAGAGGUCCCAAGCGUUGUUCGGAUUCACUGGGCGUAAAGGGUGCGUAGGUGGUCGGGUAAGUUCGGUGUGAAAUCUCCAGGCUUAACUUGGAAACGGCAUCGAAAACUACUUGGCUAGAGGAUCGGAAGGGAGACUGGAAUUCUCGGUGUAGCAGUGAAAUGCGUAGAUAUCGAGAGGAACACCAGUGGCGAAGGCGAGUCUCUGGACGAUUCCUGACGCUGAGGCACGAAAGCUAGGGGAGCAAACAGG